Molecule: ribosomal RNA, 335 nt
Filed under: uncultured delta proteobacterium
Lineage: Bacteria; Deltaproteobacteria
Description: bacterial SSU rRNA
Rfam family: Bacterial small subunit ribosomal RNA
Source: RNAcentral
GAAAGGGACUUCGGUCCUGAGUAGAGUGGCGCACGGGUGAGUAACGCGUAGAUAAUCUACCUUCUUGUUUGGGAUAACCAGCCGAAAGGCUGGCUAAUACCGGAUACACUUUCGAAGGCGCGAGUUUUCGGGAGGAAAGGUGCCCUCUGAUUCAAGGUGCCGCAGGGAGACGAGUCUGCGUACCAUUAGCUAGUUGGCGGGGUAAUGGCCCACCAAGGCGAUGAUGGUUAGCGGGUCUGAGAGGAUGAUCCGCCACACUGGAACUGGAACACGGACCAGACUCCUACGGGAGGCAGCAGUGAGGAAUUUUGCGCAAUGGGGGAAACCCUGACGCA